RNAcentral lists this ribosomal RNA (372 nucleotides) under uncultured bacterium. Its description in RNAcentral is "partial 16S ribosomal RNA". It matches the Rfam family "Bacterial small subunit ribosomal RNA", at positions 355 to 719 of the family's 1533-position model. The record is from RNAcentral.
UAGGGAAUCUUCCACAAUGGACACAAGUCUGAUGGAGCAACGCCGCGUGAGUGAAGAAGGCUUUCGGGUCGUAAAACUCUGUUAUUGAAGAAGAACGUGUGUGACAGUAACUGGUCAUGCAGUGACGGUAUUCAAUCAGAAAGUCACGGCUAACUACGUGCCAGCAGCCGCGGUAAUACGUAGGUGGCAAGCGUUGUCCGGAUUUAUUGGGCGUAAAGCGAGUGCAGGCGGUCUUUUAAGUCUGAUGUGAAAGCCUUCGGCUUAACCGAAGAAGGGCAUCGGAAACUGGGAGACUUGAGUGCAGAAGAGGAGAGUGGAACUCCAUGUGUAGCGGUGAAAUGCGUAGAUAUAUGGAAGAACACCAGUGGCGAA